Molecule: unclassified non-coding RNA, 314 nt
Filed under: Hevea brasiliensis (rubber tree)
Lineage: Eukaryota; Viridiplantae; Streptophyta; Magnoliopsida; Malpighiales; Euphorbiaceae
Source: RNAcentral
GAUAUCUCUUAUAAUAACCUUGUGAUUCCUUCAAUAUACCCAUGGUUGUCUAACAUCAGUCGAUAUAUUGAAAAAUUGACCCUCUCUUCCAACCUUUUACAAGGUUCAACUCUAGCUGAAAUUGGGAACAUGAUUUCUCUUCAAGAGCUUUAUCUUUCUAAUGCUACAAUUGUGGGUCCUAUUCCAAAAUCCUUCGGAAACAUGUCCGAUUUGCAUUUUUUAGACCUAUCGGACAACAAUAUCAGCGUACCACUUCCUGACUUGAUUCAAAAUCUAUCUGGUUACACGGAAAAAUCACUGGUGACUUUAAGGUU